GAAGUAAAAGUCGUAACAAGGUCUCCGUAGGUGAACCUGCGGAGGGAUCAUUACAAGAACGCCCGGGCUUCGGCCUGGUUAUUCAUAACCCUUUGUUGUCCGACUCUGUUGCCUCCGGGGCGACCCUGCCUUCGGGCGGGGGCUCCGGGUGGACACUUCAAACUCUUGCGUAACUUUGCAGUCUGAGUAAACUUAAUUAAUAAAUUAAAACUUUUAACAACGGAUCUCUUGGUUCUGGCAUCGAUGAAGAACGCAGCGAAAUGCGAUAAGUAAUGUGAAUUGCAGAAUUCAGUGAAUCAUCGAAUCUUUGAACGCACAUUGCGCCCCCUGGUAUUCCGGGGGGCAUGCCUGUUCGAGCGUCAUUUCACCACUCAAGCCUCGCUUGGUAUUGGGCAACGCGGUCCGCCGCGUGCCUCAAAUCGUCCGGCUGGGUCUUCUGUCCCCUAAGCGUUGUGGAAACUAUUCGCUAAAGGGUGUUCGGGAGGCUACGCCGUAAAACAACCCCAUUUCUAAGGUUGACCUCGGAUCAGGUAGGGAUACCCGCUGAACUUAAGCAUA
This 558-nucleotide ribosomal RNA is filed under the name fungal sp. SF(I)1B-4. Its description in RNAcentral is "eukaryotic LSU rRNA". The stretch from base 209 to 362 matches the Rfam family "5.8S ribosomal RNA". The record is from RNAcentral. Lineage: Eukaryota; Fungi.